Molecule: unclassified non-coding RNA, 207 nt
Filed under: plant metagenome
Description: partial contains small subunit ribosomal RNA and internal transcribed spacer 1
Rfam family: Eukaryotic small subunit ribosomal RNA (bases 1-54)
Source: RNAcentral
GAAAGUAAAAGUCGUAACAAGGUCUCCGUUGGUGAACCAGCGGAGGGAUCAUUAUCGAGUUCUAAACUCCCAAACCUUUGUGAACAUACCUAUGUUGCCUCGGCGGGUUCACGCCCGCCGGCGGCCAACCAAACUCUGUUUUCUAUUGAAUCUUCUGAGUUAUUUUUAAAUAAAUUAAAACUUUUAGCAACGGAUCUCUUGGCUCUG